RNAcentral lists this ribosomal RNA (253 nucleotides) under uncultured bacterium. RNAcentral's name for it is "partial 16S ribosomal RNA". It matches the Rfam family "Bacterial small subunit ribosomal RNA", at positions 524 to 776 of the family's 1533-position model. The record is from RNAcentral.
UACGAGGGGGGCGAGCGUUGUUCGGAAUUAUUGGGCGUAAAGGGUGCGUAGGCGGUUUGGUAAGUCUGAUGUGAAAUCUAUGGGCUCAACUCAUAGUCUGCAUCGGAAACUGCCGGACUUGAGUAUGGGAGAGGUGAGUGGAAUUCCUGGUGUAGCGGUGAAAUGCGCAGAUAUCAGGAGGAACACCGAUGGCGAAGGCAGGUCUCUGGGCAUUAACUGACGCUGAGGAGCGAAAGCAUGGGGAGCGAACAGG